AAGUCGUAACAAGGUUUCCGUAGGUGAACCUGCGGAAGGAUCAUUACCGAUUUUAGCGGACCUGAUCUUUCGAUCAUGGUCUCGCAAAAACUUGUAUUUAAAACCCCACUCUUAUAAAUUGAAUCAUUUUAUAUGUAUAUAAUAAAUAAAGAUCACUUUCAACAACGGAUCUCUUGGCUCUC
Molecule: unclassified non-coding RNA, 182 nt
Filed under: Rhizophagus sp. (in: glomeromycetes)
Lineage: Eukaryota; Fungi; Glomeromycota; Glomeromycetes; Glomerales; Glomeraceae
Description: Rhizophagus sp. (in: Fungi) partial internal transcribed spacer region
Rfam family: Eukaryotic small subunit ribosomal RNA (bases 1-46)
Source: RNAcentral